AUUGAACGCUGGCGGCAUGCUUUACACAUGCAAGUCGAACGGCAGCGGGGGCUUCGGCCUGCCGGCGAGUGGCGAACGGGUGAGUAAUGCAUCGGAACGUGCCCAGUCAUGGGGGAUAACUACGCGAAAGCGUAGCUAAUACCGCAUACGCCCUGAGGGGGAAAGUGGGGGAUCUUCGGACCUCACGUGAUUGGAGCGGCCGAUGUCAGAUUAGCUAGUUGGUGAGGUAAAGGCUCACCAAGGCGACGAUCUGUAGCGGGUCUGAGAGGAUGAUCCGCCACACUGGGACUGAGACACGGCCCAGACUCCUACGGGAGGCAGCAGUGGGGAAUUUUGGACAAUGGGCGCAAGCCUGAUCCAGCCAUGCCGCGUGAGUGAAGAAGGCCUC
This 388-nucleotide ribosomal RNA is filed under the name uncultured bacterium. Its description in RNAcentral is "bacterial SSU rRNA". It matches the Rfam family "Bacterial small subunit ribosomal RNA", at positions 29 to 418 of the family's 1533-position model. The record is from RNAcentral.